This 120-nucleotide ribosomal RNA is filed under the name uncultured bacterium. RNAcentral's name for it is "partial 16S ribosomal RNA". It matches the Rfam family "Bacterial small subunit ribosomal RNA", at positions 796 to 918 of the family's 1533-position model. The record is from RNAcentral.
CACGCCGUAAACGAUGAGUGCUAGGUGUCGGGAGUCAAAUCUCGGUGCCGUAGUUAACGCAAUAAGCACUCCGCCUGGGGAGUACGUGCGCAAGCAUGAAACUCAAAGGAAUUGACGGGG